This 250-nucleotide ribosomal RNA is filed under the name uncultured bacterium. RNAcentral's name for it is "partial 16S ribosomal RNA". It matches the Rfam family "Bacterial small subunit ribosomal RNA", at positions 524 to 773 of the family's 1533-position model. The record is from RNAcentral.
UACAGAGGGUGCGAGCGUUAAUCGGAAUUACUGGGCGUAAAGCGUGCGUAGACGGUUACGUAAGUCGGGUGUGAAAGCCCCGGGCUCAACCUGGGAAUUGCAUUCGAGACUGCGCAGCUAGGGUGCGGAAGAGGGAAGCGGAAUUUCCGGUGUAGCGGUGAAAUGCGUAGAUAUCGGAAGGAACAUCAGUGGCGAAAGCGGCUUCCUGGUCCAGCACCGACGUUCAGGCACGAAAGCGUGGGGAGCAAAC